This 442-nucleotide ribosomal RNA is filed under the name uncultured bacterium. Its description in RNAcentral is "partial 16S ribosomal RNA". It matches the Rfam family "Bacterial small subunit ribosomal RNA", at positions 338 to 795 of the family's 1533-position model. The record is from RNAcentral.
CCUACGGGUGGCAGCAGUGGGGGAUAUUGCACAAUGGGGGAAACCCUGAUGCAGCGACGCCGCGUGGGCGAAGAAGUAUUUCGGUAUGUAAAGCCCUAUCAGCAGGGAAGAAGAAAUGACGGUACCUGAGUAAGAAGCACCGGCUAAAUACGUGCCAGCAGCCGCGGUAAUACGUAUGGUGCAAGCGUUAUCCGGAUUUACUGGGUGUAAAGGGAGCGUAGACGGCGAUGCAAGUCUGAAGUGAAAGGCGGGGGCCCAACCCCCGGACUACUUUGGAAACUGUAUGGCUGGAGUGCAGGAGAGGUAAGUGGAAUUCCUAGUGUAGCGGUGAAAUGCGUAGAUAUUAGGAGGAACACCAGUGGCGAAGGCGGCUUACUGGACUGUAACUGACGUUGAGGCUCGAAAGCGUGGGGAGCAAACAGGAUUAGAUACCCCAGUAGUC